RNAcentral lists this transfer RNA (68 nucleotides) under Marmota monax (woodchuck). RNAcentral describes it as "tRNA.Ala". Lineage: Eukaryota; Metazoa; Chordata; Mammalia; Rodentia; Sciuridae. The record is from RNAcentral.
GCUGUAGCUCAGUGCUACAGCGCUUGCCUAGCAUGUGUGAGGCACUGGGUUCAAAUCUCAGCAUUGCA